UGUAUACGUAAGAAUCGACGAGGAAGGUUAUUCUGACGUCGUCAAUUAUUUAAGUUAUAUCGGCGGCUUCAAUUUGAAAGAAGCCAUAAAUCUGUGUUUCAAGGAAGCUAUAAAAGAUUUCUUAACACCUUCAUUCACUUGGUGAGGUCGCGAGAAAGGACGAUCCUUGUAUAAUGCUCGCCUCACUGUGGCUAUUUAUGAGGCUGUGUGUUCUAACCGGCAUUUCGAUAAACCGACUCGGUCGGAAUUUCAAUUGCAAUUUCGUGAAGCUCUUCGGAUGGCGAAAGGAAGAUUGAGGCAUAGAAUGAGAGAUCCACACAUGCAGUCAAUCAAUCGCGAGAGCGGCGAUGAACGGCCACAAGAAAAUACGAAUACCGUUGAGCAAGAAACCACAAAUGGCGAGGAUUGAAAGUACUUUGCACUUUAUUUAUACAGGUUCACUGAUACGCCGCUAGACGUAUGUCGCUUUGUUCGCAAGACGCCCUAUUGUUCCAGAUUCAUUGAUAUGUAUACGCACGCACACAUACAUACAUACGCGCGCCACACAAUUCGCGCACACACGUAACGCAUAUACGCACGCAUACGUACGCGCGCACACAUGCACGCAUAUAUCUCAUAAAUAUAAAUAUUAAAAUAAAAUUAAUAAUAUAUUAAAUAAUAAUUUUUCAUAAUUUAUGUAAUGUACCGCAUUCUUUCUAUGCAGUAUGGAAUAAUUCGUGAAGGUGAAUUAUGAAACAUCCUGUAUAGCAAAAUCAAGAAACGCGAUAGCGUCUCUCGUUAAUAUAUAAUAAUUAUAUAUAAUAAAUGUAAUAUAAGUAUA
Formica exsecta is the source of this 820-nucleotide long non-coding RNA. RefSeq lists it as uncharacterized. The transcript is spliced from 4 exons. Lineage: Eukaryota; Metazoa; Arthropoda; Insecta; Hymenoptera; Formicidae. The record is from RefSeq and is a predicted model, not a curated record.